This 93-nucleotide small nucleolar RNA is filed under the name Penicilliopsis zonata CBS 506.65. RNAcentral describes it as "Small nucleolar RNA snR73". It matches the Rfam family "Small nucleolar RNA snR73". The record is from Rfam by way of RNAcentral. Lineage: Eukaryota; Fungi; Ascomycota; Eurotiomycetes; Eurotiales; Aspergillaceae.
CUUUAAAAUGAUGAUUUUUCUUUUAUUUAUCACGACGGUCAACAGAACUUUAACAUUGAUGACCACCGCCUUUGACAAGGCUUUUAUCUGAAA